Lontra canadensis (Northern American river otter) is the source of this 326-nucleotide long non-coding RNA. RefSeq lists it as uncharacterized. NCBI's taxonomy places the organism in Eukaryota, Metazoa, Chordata, Mammalia, Carnivora, Mustelidae. The record is from RefSeq and is a predicted model, not a curated record. The transcript is spliced from 3 exons.
AUGCUGCGAAAAACAAACGCAGAAGGAGUCACUAAGAGCACACCAGACGUCUCCACAACUGGCAACCUUGACGGGAUGUAGAAAUCCAGAUUUCAGAAUUGUCUUACAAGAUAUCCUUACACAAAGAUGGCACCAGGGCUGCUCAGGAGUGCUCACAGCACAGAACACUGCUCUUGAUGUUUAAGGAGAAUCUGGCAAAACACACCUAAUCCCUGAGUUAAUGGAACAAAGCAUCCAGUGGCGGCACGUGACAAAGAUGACACACCUACUGAAACAGAAAACACCAUUUAGAAAGCACAUUUAAGAACCCACCAGGGCGCCUGGGU